GACGAACGCUGGCGGCGUGCUUAACACAUGCCAGUCGAACGGAAAGGCCCUGCUUUUGUGGGGUGCUCGAGUGGCGAACGGGUGAGUAACACGUGAGUAACCUGCCCUUGACUUUGGGAUAACUUCAGGAAACUGGGGCUAAUACCGGAUAGGAGCUCCUGCUGCAUGGGGGGGGUUGGAGAGUUGCGGCGGUUGGGGAUGGACUCGCGGCUUAUCAGCUUGUUGGUGGGGUAGUGGCUUACCAAGGCUUUGACGGGUAGCCGGCCUGGGAGGGUGACCGGCCACAUUGGGACUGAGGUACGGCCCAGACUCCUACGGGAGGCAGCAGUGGGGAAUAUUGCACAAUGGGCGGAAGCCUGAUGCAGCGACGCCGCGUGCGGGAUGCCGGCCUUCGGGUUGUAAACCGCUUUCGCCUGUGACGAAGCGUGAGUGACGGUAAUGGGUAAAGAAGCACCGGCUAACUACGUG
Molecule: ribosomal RNA, 468 nt
Filed under: uncultured bacterium
Lineage: Bacteria
Description: partial 16S ribosomal RNA
Rfam family: Bacterial small subunit ribosomal RNA
Source: RNAcentral